GGUAAAAUGGCUGAGUUAGGCGGUAAAUUGUAAAUUUAUAGACGGAGGGGAUCUCCUUUUACCA
RNAcentral lists this transfer RNA (64 nucleotides) under Trigonopterus jasminae. Its description in RNAcentral is "tRNA-Tyr". It matches the Rfam family "tRNA". From Rfam's summary of the family: Transfer RNA (tRNA) molecules are approximately 80 nucleotides in length. Their secondary structure includes four short double-helical elements and three loops (D, anti-codon, and T loops). Further hydrogen bonds mediate the characteristic L-shaped molecular structure. tRNAs have two regions of fundamental functional importance: the anti-codon, which is responsible for specific mRNA codon recognition, and the 3' end, to which the tRNAs corresponding amino acid is attached (by aminoacyl-tRNA synthetases). tRNAs cope with the degeneracy of the genetic code in two manners: having more than one tRNA (with a specific anti-codon) for a particular amino acid; and 'wobble' base-pairing, i.e. permitting non-standard base-pairing at the 3rd anti-codon position. The record is from RNAcentral. Lineage: Eukaryota; Metazoa; Arthropoda; Insecta; Coleoptera; Curculionidae.